UACGUAGGGUGCAAGCGUUGUCCGGAAUUAUUGGGCGUAAAGAGCUCGUAGGCGGUUUGUCGCGUCUGCUGUGAAAACUCGGGGCUUAACCCCGGGCCUGCAGUGGGUACGGGCAGACUAGAGUGCGGUAGGGGAGUCUGGAAUUCCUGGUGUAGCGGUGAAAUGCGCAGAUAUCAGGAGGAACACCGGUGGCGAAGGCGGGACUCUGGGCCGAUACUGACGCUGAGGAGCGAAAGCGUGGGGAGCAAACAGG
This 253-nucleotide ribosomal RNA is filed under the name uncultured bacterium. RNAcentral's name for it is "partial 16S ribosomal RNA". It matches the Rfam family "Bacterial small subunit ribosomal RNA", at positions 524 to 776 of the family's 1533-position model. The record is from RNAcentral.